Molecule: ribosomal RNA, 483 nt
Filed under: uncultured bacterium
Lineage: Bacteria
Description: partial 16S ribosomal RNA
Rfam family: Bacterial small subunit ribosomal RNA
Source: RNAcentral
ACUCAAAUGAAUAGACGGGGGCCCGCACAAGCAGCGGAGCGUGUGGUUUAAUUCGAGGCUACACGAAGAACCUUACCUGGGUUGGACAUGGUGGUAGUAAAAGGCGGAAACGUCUUUGACCGCAAGGAGCCACCACUGGUGCUGCAUGGCUGUCGUCAGCUCGUGCCGUGAGGUGUUAGGUUAAGUCCUGUAACGAGCGCAACCCCCGGUGUCAGUUAGAGCGUCUGACGCGACUGCCCGUGACAAGCGGGAGGAAGGUGGGGAUGACGUCAAGUCAGCAUGGCCUGUAUAUCCAGGGCUACACACACGCUACAAUGGUCGGUGCAAUCGGUUGCCAAGCCGCAAGGCGGAGCUAAUCCACCAAAAUCGACCUCAGUUCAGAUUGUGGGCUGCAACCCGCCCACAUGAAGUCGGAGUUGCUAGUAACCGCGCGUCAGCCAUAGUGCGGUGAAUACGUUCCCGGGCCUUGUACACACCGCCCGU